GGACGGAAAGGGUCCUGAGCAAAUCUGCCAUGAAGAAUGCUGUGAUAGCGGGAGAUGAUGUGGAGAAAUUCCUGGAAAAAAGCAAUAGUCGGAUGGUGGAAUCUGAUUUGCAGAGGAAAAACAUUUGAAUAAAACAGCUGCUGAUAAGUGUGAACUUUGCACUGGGGCUUGCGGUUGGGUUAAUUCUUGAUUUUAGGUUCCUGAAUCGAAUCCUGAUUUCUGUAAAUCAAUGACAGAAAAACUGAAAUUGAAUCAACGGUUAAUAACCUUCCAGAGACAAAGCACUAGUCUAAAGGUGUUCACUGGUGAGUUACCUGAAACAUUUAAGGAGGUAGCUUUACAAAUUCUCUACAGUCUCUUUCAGAAGGUAGGAAUGGGAGUCAAACCCAAAGCCAUUACAAAACAAAACAGAAAAACCCCCUCCCUGUCAGUAUUCCUUGAAGUCAUAAAUGCAGAAUGAUCAAUAAAAUAUUAGUAUAUAGAAGCUGAUAAUUGCUAAAAAUAAUUGCAUACCAAGGCUAAGUGAGAUCUACCCCAUGCAGUAUAGGAUGUUUCUAGGUUAGAAAGUAUUUUCCCCCAUAGUGUUAAUGGGAACCCACCGUCACUGAGAUGCUGUCUAUAGUGAACUGAAAAUCUUUAUUCCCGCUAGCUGGGAAUACACUCAGGCAUUCUGGGACACCAAGUGUCCAGAAUACAGCAUUAUUGAAAGCAAAAACCACUUCCUGGCUGGGUGUGGUGGCACACACCUUUAACUCCAGCACUCCAGAGGCAGAGAACUCUGUGAGUUCUAGGCCAGCCUGCUUGAAAUGAGUUCCAGGACAGCCAGGGUGGUAUACAAAGAAACCCUAUCUCAAAAAAAAUCAAACCAACCAAACAUAAAACAAACCACAUUUUGGCAUCUCAUUUAGCAGCUGUGUGUGUGUGUGGGGGGGGUGUAAUGCAAGCAGGCAGUUUAACAGAAGCUAAGCUAGCUAGGCAUCAUGACCUUAGGUUCCUACAACAGAGUUGGUAAUUUUCCAUGGGGCUUUUCAUCUAGGAGAUCAGAUUCUAGUCAAGCCUAAAAUGGCCUCAGCAGGAAUAUAAGAUGGAGCAGAAGGUCACAAUACAACAGGCUAAAGAAGGAAAGCUACAUGGUUGUAUCAAUAGCUAUAAUAACAAAGCCCUGGACAAAAUUUAACAUGUAAAAUUCUCAACUACAACAAAAACAACAAAAACCAAACAAGAAAAGAAGGAAUAGAGGGAGAUUUACCAAUUGCAAACAAUCCCCAAGAAGUCUACUGCUGAUGACAUACUCAAUGCUAAGAAACUUGAAAGUGUUCCCCAUUAAGGAACAAGGCAAGGAUGUCCCCUCUUGGUACUCUUUCU
Molecule: long non-coding RNA, 1365 nt
Filed under: Cricetulus griseus (Chinese hamster)
Lineage: Eukaryota; Metazoa; Chordata; Mammalia; Rodentia; Cricetidae
Description: lncRNA (ENSCGRG00015032777.1)
Source: RNAcentral